GACAAUUAGCUCUUUUAGUGUAUGUCCAGUAGGUUUUCUCAUGGAGAAAGCCAAA
This 55-nucleotide small nuclear RNA is filed under the name Salmo trutta (river trout). RNAcentral's name for it is "U7 small nuclear RNA (ENSSTUG00000007646.1)". It matches the Rfam family "U7 small nuclear RNA". Rfam says of the family: Animal histone pre-mRNAs are spliced by a different mechanism than nuclear pre-mRNAs and self-splicing introns. Lineage: Eukaryota; Metazoa; Chordata; Actinopteri; Salmoniformes; Salmonidae. The record is from Rfam by way of RNAcentral.